RNAcentral lists this long non-coding RNA (2089 nucleotides) under Cyanistes caeruleus (blue tit). Its description in RNAcentral is "lncRNA (ENSCCEG00000012369.1)". The record is from RNAcentral. Lineage: Eukaryota; Metazoa; Chordata; Aves; Passeriformes; Paridae.
CUGCCGAUGGGCUCGGCCCGGCAGUGGGGCUGUCUGAGGCCCGGCGGGCAUUGGCUCUGCCAGGCACAGGGAGGUUUCUAGAAGCUUCUCGCAGAAACUACAACCAGACUCCCCCUGCUACCUGAACCUGCCCCUGCGAACCCAGAAAGUGUACUGUUAAAUCUACCUCAUAAGCUGGCACGACUCUUGCUGACUUGGAAUGUUCAGCAUUUUUUUCUUAGCUGAAUCCAGUUCAUUGCUCUUAAUAAAGUUGCGAGCACUUAGCGGGAGAAGCAUUACGCUAAAUACAGGAACUGUGGAGAGCCAUUGUCGAAUACUUGCUACUGAUUUAUGCUUUUGAAGUGCACAAAGCCCUCUACAGUGUCAAUAUGCAUCAGACUGUGCUGUUGUGGGGAGUCCUCUUCUGCAGUUCUUCAGUACCAAUGAAACUCCUGCAAACGUUCCUUCUCUAAGAGAGCAUAUCAACAAACAGGAGGGAGGCAAAAGCUAGAGUGUAACUGGUACAAUUAUAGCAGAAGGAGAUCUGGAUGCUUAUUCAGCAAGUGCAGCACAGACAAAAAGAAGAGGUGUUGCACACUUGGAGAAACUUUACUUUCUUUUAAUGGAUGGUUCCAGAAAGCAACUCUAGGCUGGGGAAAAUUCAACUUGAUGAUUCAAAAUUAUUUGCGUCUAGGUGAGUCAGAGCAGCCAAUGCACGAGAGACAGAAUGUACCUGGCUAGAUCUUUCUGUGAAACAAAAUCAACCAGAUAGCAACUUUAUAACACAGUUUUUUUGCAUAUUAGAAACUGAGCAUUCUUUAUUGCACCGCAUUUGUCGCUCUGGGGAUCUUCCACUAUUGGAAUGACCCAGCAUCAGGUGAAUGGAGUUUUUAUCAUGUACACUGAUUUCAUAUUCAUUAGUCAUAUCCUCUUACUUGAUGUAUAUGUAUUAGUUUAUUUUACAUAGUCACACCCUUUGUCAGAAGUCCUUGUGUGGCCUUUUGGGACCUUCUUUUGUGGUCUCCUGUGUCUGGUCAUAAUAUUUGACGUGGCCAUUCAUUAACCCCAUCUCUUGAGUAAGAUCAAUACUGUUUUGCAUGACUCCUGCUUUGUCAGCCUUAAAGAGCUGUGCUGGCAUCUUGUUUGCUUAACUUACAUCCUUUAUCUAUUUUUCCAAGCCUGUUUUACUGCCCUUACCAACUGGAGCAUUUUCAGUCUCAGUCCUAAAAAAUAUCUAAAGACCAGCCUGUACUUAUUCUUGAUUAAUUAACUCUAUUAAUAUAUUUAGUAUAUUUUAUCUUAUAAAAUAGACAUGUCAGUCUUCAUGAUGAAGGAAGAAAAAUUCUUGGAAGAAAUACAAAAAAUGAAAUGUCAUUAUUUCUCCCCACAGGGAAGAAGGGUUUGCCAGGGAUUUGAGCCAUUAAAAGGAAAGUAUUAGCUGUGGGAGAAGAAUCCAGAGGGCAGACUGCCCUGCUUGUGAGGCUAACCUUUCCUAUGGAAGAUAUGGGCUAUGUUUUACUGGUUUGGCCUGAUAAAUUAUCUACUCUUUUGCACACGAUUUUUAUACAGUUUCAGCAGAUAGUGUGAGGGGCAAAAUAAUGCCUUGAAUAUGCUACUGUGAGAAGCAAGAUACUUGCUGCAACAUUUGGAGUGCUUUAAUAUUCUUCUCUUCAAUUUUAAACAGUAAAAAAAAAAUGUAUUCAAUUUUUUGUCUGCAUGCUUUAACUGCUGAGCUACUGCAUGAGAGAGAGGGGAGUUUCUUGUCAUUGGCAAAUUUAGUAUUUUUCUUCUGUUUUGAUUGAUUUCUGCAAGUGCCUUUUGCAGCCUGUGUGACACCGAGGCUGUGGCAAAUAGGAUUCCAACUGACAAUUUAGAAAAGGGAGGAUUUCCUCUAGCAUUUCAGUAGAAUGUAGAUACAUUAGCACUGUCACUGCCUUUUUCCCUCACCUAAAAAUUCCCCACAGAAAACCUACCCUGGUUAGUAAAGAGAGCCUAUGGACAGCUUCUCCUCUGAGAACCUGGCACAAUCUUCAGAGGAAAUAUGCUCUUCAGAGCAUGUUUUCAAUUGUGUGUAAAUAAAGUCUUGUAUAGUAGGUAGGUAUCUGUGAGA